AGUUUGAUCAUGGCUCAGGAUGAACGCUAGCGGCAGGCUUAAUACAUGCAAGUCGAGGGGCAGCAGGUUUGUAGCAAUACAGAUGCUGGCGACCGGCAAACGGGUGCGGAACACGUACACAACCUUCCUUUAAGUGGAGAAUAGCCCAGAGAAAUUUGGAUUAAUACUCCGUAACAUUAUGAUGUGGCAUCACAUUAUAAUUAUAGCUCCGGCGCUUAAUGAUGGGUGUGCGGCUGAUUAGGUAGUUGGCGGGGUAACGGCCCACCAAGCCUGCGAUCAGUAACUGGUGUGAGAGCACGACCAGUCACACGGGCACUGAGACACGGGCCCGACUCCUACGGGAGGCAGCAGUAAGGAAUAUUGGGCAAUGGAGGCAACUCUGACCCAGCCAUGCCGCGUGGAGGAUGAAGGUCCUCUGGAUUGUAAACUUCUUUUAUAUGGGACGAAAAAGGGCCUUUCCAGGUCAACUGACGGUACCAUAUGAAUAAGCACCGGCUAACUCCGUGCCAGCAGCCGCGGUAAUACGGAGGGUGCAAGCGUUAUCCGGAUUCACUGGGUUUAAAGGGUGCGUAGGUGGGUUGGUAAGUCAGUGGUGAAAUCUCCGAGCUUAACUUGGAAACUGCCAUUGAUACUAUCAAUCUUGAAUAUUGUGGAGGUCAGCGGAAUAUGUCAUGUAGCGGUGAAAUGCUUAGAUAUGACAUAGAACAC
Molecule: ribosomal RNA, 708 nt
Filed under: uncultured bacterium
Lineage: Bacteria
Description: bacterial SSU rRNA
Rfam family: Bacterial small subunit ribosomal RNA
Source: RNAcentral